ACUCCUACGGGAGGCAGCAGUGGGGAAUCUUGCSCAAUGGGCGAAAGCCUGACGCAGCGACGCCGCGUGGGUGGUGAAGGCCUUCGGGUUGUAAAGCCCUGUGGGGAGAGACGAAUAAGUCGGAUCUAAUAACUCCGAUGAUGACGGUAUCUCCUUAGCAAGCACCGGCUAACUCUGUGCCAGCAGCCGCGGUAAGACAGAGGGUGCAAACGUUGUUCGGAAUUACUGGGCGUAAAGCGUGUGUAGGCGGUUACGAAAGUCGGAUGUGAAAUCCCCGGGCUCAACCCGGGAAGUGCACCCGAAACUGUGUGACUUGAGUACCGGAGAGGUUGGUGGAAUUCUCGGUGUAGAGGUGAAAUUCGUAGAUAUCGAGAGGAACACCGGUGGCGAAGGCGGCCAACUGGACGAGUACUGACGCUGAGACACGAAAGCGUGGGGAGCAAACAGGAUUAGAUACCCUGGUAGUCCACGCCGUAAACGAUGGGUGCUAGGUGUCACGGGCUUUGACUCCUGUGGUGCCGUAKCCAACGCAUUAAGCACCCCGCCUGGGAAGUACGGCCGCAAGGCUAAAACUCAAAGGAAUUGACGG
Molecule: ribosomal RNA, 589 nt
Filed under: uncultured Polyangiaceae bacterium
Lineage: Bacteria; Pseudomonadati; Myxococcota; Polyangiales; Polyangiaceae
Description: bacterial SSU rRNA
Rfam family: Bacterial small subunit ribosomal RNA
Source: RNAcentral